Molecule: ribosomal RNA, 497 nt
Filed under: uncultured bacterium
Lineage: Bacteria
Description: partial 16S ribosomal RNA
Rfam family: Bacterial small subunit ribosomal RNA
Source: RNAcentral
GAUGAACGCUGGCGGCGUGCCUAAUACAUGCAAGUCGAGCGAACAGAUGAGGAGCUUGCUCCUCUGACGUUAGCGGCGGACGGGUGAGUAACACGUGGAUAACCUACCUAUAAGACUGGGAUAACUUCGGGAAACCGGAGCUAAUACCGGAUAAUAUAUUGAACCGCAUGGUUCAAUAGUGAAAGACGGUUUUGCUGUCACUUAUAGAUGGAUCCGCGCCGCAUUAGCUAGUUGGUAAGGUAACGGCUUACCAAGGCAACGAUGCGUAGCCGACCUGAGAGGGUGAUCGGACACACUGGAACUGAGACACGGUCCAGACUCCUACGGGAGGCAGCAGUAGGGAAUCUUCCGCAAUGGGCGAAAGCAUGACGGAGCAACGCCGCGUGAGUGAUGAAGGUCUUCGGAUCGUAAAACUCUGUUAUUAGGGAAGAACAAAUGUGUAAGUAACUAUGCACGUCUUGACGGUAGCUAAUCAGAAAGCCACGGCUAACUACGUG